UGCGUUGCUUGCUUGAAACAUUUAUACAGUGCGUGUUCGGCAUCGUCUGGUUCUUUGUUACACUCUCAACGCUUAUUAUGAGUACUUCUAUUUAUCCUAUAUCUGUUCUCUGACUUUAUUCUCCAAGUCUAUACGCUGCAUCGCUCACGUAGGACAUGCACAGUGCAUGUUCGGCAUCAUCUGGUUCUUCAUUACAUUGUCAGCACUUAUUAUGACUACUUUUAUUUAUGUUAGAUUUUUUCCUGUUGCCUUCUUAACUCUUCCACUAGUGUGUGCUUCAAUAUUCCGUAUGUAUUCACUUAAAUUUGGUAGUAAGCUUUUCAUAACUGUUUCGGCUUUUGUGUAUACCUUUUUUCGAUGUGAGUAGUGAAUUUCCUAUUAUUAUCAAGUUCUAGUCCAAAGUAUUUUAUAACAUUCUUUUUUUUAAUUUUCUCAGGUUAUAAUUGUCAAUCUUAAUUUUUAUUACUUUUGGUAUUCUCAUACCUGUAAGUAAAGUGGUCUCAGUUUUUUUUUCAUUGGCCAACUGUAAGUCUGUUGUCGAACAUCAAUUAUUAACAGUUAUCAUCAUUUCUUUUAGUUUAACUUUAAUAUUGUUAUAAAUAUUUAAUAUUCUUUUCUUUCUUUCUUUUUUUUUAAAUUGUUUCAGCUGAUCGUCGUAUACUAUGUUUUACAAAAAUGGACCCAUAACCAAUCCCUGUGGAAUUCCUGCACAUACAUUUCUUUUUACGAAUAAUUACUUAUCUACAAGCCUCAUUGAUUUAUAAGGUACUUUUAUCUUUUUAAUUUCUUCCAAUAUCUUUGUUUAUUUUAUUGAAUUAACGUAUUUUAUAUUUAAAUAGUGGCU
This 844-nucleotide unclassified non-coding RNA is filed under the name Bombus terrestris (buff-tailed bumblebee). RNAcentral describes it as "misc RNA ENSBTSG00005039234.1". The record is from RNAcentral. Lineage: Eukaryota; Metazoa; Arthropoda; Insecta; Hymenoptera; Apidae.